RNAcentral lists this unclassified non-coding RNA (955 nucleotides) under Candidatus Phytoplasma taraxacum (nom. nud.). Its description in RNAcentral is "bacterial SSU rRNA". The stretch from base 1 to 738 matches the Rfam family "Bacterial small subunit ribosomal RNA", at positions 793 to 1533 of the family's 1533-position model. Lineage: Bacteria; Bacillati; Mycoplasmatota; Mollicutes; Acholeplasmatales; Acholeplasmataceae. The record is from RNAcentral.
GUCCACGCCGUAAACGAUGAGUACUAAGUGUCGGGCAAAACCGCGUACUGAAGUUAACACAUUUAAGUACUCCGCCUGAGUAGUACGUACGCAAGUAUGAAACUUAAAGGAAUUGACGGGACUCCGCACAAGCGGUGGAUCAUGUUGUUUAAUUCGAAGAUACACGAAAAACCUUACCAGGUCUUGACAUUUUCUUGCGAAGUUAUAGAAAUAUAAUGGAGGUUAUCAGGAAAACAGGUGGUGCAUGGUUGUCGUCAGCUCGUGUCGUGAGAUGUUAGGUUAAGUCCUAAAACGAGCGCAACCCUUGUCGUUAAUUGCCAGCAUGUAAUGAUGGGGACUUUAACGAGACUGCCAAUGAAAAAUUGGAGGAAGGUGGGGAUUACGUCAAAUCAUCAUGCCCCUUAUGAUCUGGGCUACAAACGUGAUACAAUGGUUGAUACAAAGAGUAGCUGAAACGCGAGUUCUUAGCCAAUCUCACAAAAUCAAUCUCAGUUCGGAUUGAAGUCUGCAACUCGACUUCAUGAAGUUGGAAUCGCUAGUAAUCGCGAAUCAGCAUGUCGCGGUGAAUACGUUCUCGGGGUUUGUACACACCGCCCGUCAAACCACGAAAGUUGGCAAUACCCCAAAGCGGUCGCCUAACUUCGUAAGAAGAAGGAUCCGUCUAAGGUAGGGUCGAUAAUUGGGGUUAAGUCGUAACAAGGUAUCCCUACCGGAAGGUGGGGAUGGAUCACCUCCUUUCUAAGGAAACAAUAAAAUUAUCAUCUUCAGUUUUGAAAGACUUAGAAAAUUAAUAAGUUUUUCUUUUUUAAGGCAUUAAGGGCCUAUAGCUCAGCUGGUUAGAGCACACGCCUGAUAAGCGUGAGGUCGGUGGUUCAAGUCCAUUUAGGCCCACCAGUUUAUUUUAAAAGUUAUAAGCGUUGUCUUAAAAAAAGUUCUUUGAAAAGUAGAUAAACAU